GUGGUGCAAAUGGCUAACACGCUUGGCUGCUAACCAAAAGGUUGGAGGUUUGAGACCUCCC
This 61-nucleotide transfer RNA is filed under the name Loxodonta africana (African savanna elephant). It matches the Rfam family "tRNA", at positions 7 to 64 of the family's 71-position model. Rfam says of the family: Transfer RNA (tRNA) molecules are approximately 80 nucleotides in length. Their secondary structure includes four short double-helical elements and three loops (D, anti-codon, and T loops). Further hydrogen bonds mediate the characteristic L-shaped molecular structure. tRNAs have two regions of fundamental functional importance: the anti-codon, which is responsible for specific mRNA codon recognition, and the 3' end, to which the tRNAs corresponding amino acid is attached (by aminoacyl-tRNA synthetases). tRNAs cope with the degeneracy of the genetic code in two manners: having more than one tRNA (with a specific anti-codon) for a particular amino acid; and 'wobble' base-pairing, i.e. permitting non-standard base-pairing at the 3rd anti-codon position. Lineage: Eukaryota; Metazoa; Chordata; Mammalia; Proboscidea; Elephantidae. The record is from Rfam by way of RNAcentral.